GCUACGGGUGGCAGCAGUGAGGAAUAUUGGUCAAUGGGCUUACGCCUGAACCAGCCAAGUCGCGUGAGUGAAGAAGUAAUUCGGUAUGUAAAGCUCUGUCAGCAGGGAAGAAGAAAGACGGUACCUGACCAAGAAGCCCCGGCUAACUACGUGCCAGCAGCCGCGGUAAUACGUAGGGGGCAAGCGUUAUCCGGAUUUACUGGGUGUAAAGGGAGCGUAGACGGCAGGGCAAGUCUGGAGUGAAAGGCAGGGGCCCAACCCCUGGACUGCUCUGGAAACUGUCCGGCUGGAGUGCAGGAGAGGUAAGUGGAAUUCCUAGUGUAGCGGUGAAAUGCGUAGAUAUUAGGAGGAACACCAGUGGCGAAGGCGGCUUACUGGACUGUAACUGACGUUGAGGCUCGAAAGCGUGGGGAGCAAACAGGAUUAGAUACCCUUGUAGUC
RNAcentral lists this ribosomal RNA (441 nucleotides) under uncultured bacterium. RNAcentral's name for it is "partial 16S ribosomal RNA". It matches the Rfam family "Bacterial small subunit ribosomal RNA", at positions 338 to 795 of the family's 1533-position model. The record is from RNAcentral.